UGACAUAGUAACGCCGACCCUGAGGAGACAAGUAACUCUGCCAGCCAGGCGGAAGGAGGAUGAUCUGGCUUUCCUCUCCCGGCGGUGGGGGGACCAUUCCAGGUUUCUUGUGCAGACGUGAGCAAAGCGACGGUAAUGGGUGGUUGUCAAUUUGCUCUAGCAGCCAGAUCAGACAGUUUUAAGGUCCCCCUGUUCUGCGUCUUCUCACACCCCAAGCCCAGAAGCAAUAGGAACUCCAGAGAAAGGCAUAUCCACGGGGCCCCACACCCCCACUCCCCCCACACCCAGAUCUAUAUAUAACAUCUCCCAAGUUGUCAGCUUAACGAGCCACUUUCUGGCAGACCCGUUGCCAUGGCAAUGACUGCUAAUGAGCCGGGUGCCGUGAUUGGCAGUGCUUGAAGGCUCCCCCACAAAGAACUCUCCAGCAAGUUCUCUCUUCCCAGACACACAGCCAGCCGGGACACCCAGGAGCAGCCAGGCCACGGCCGGGUGUGGCUGGGAGUGGCUGGGAGGCACCGGUCCCCAGGAACCACUUUGUCACUAGUGUGUCCUGAGCCGUCCAGGGCCUGGUGGCAAGGUCAACAGGAUGUCCACCAAUUAGCAGCAAUGACAGGGGCUGCAGCCAAGAAGACCAAGCCCCAGCUGGGCCGGGGAAUGGAGAGUCCUGUCUGCUGCAGACCUUUCUGCUGGACACCUGUUGAGGAUGGAGAGGCUCCUACGCAAAGCUGGGGACAGCUACGGGAGGAAAGGUGCUCUCCCCCCUGCCCUUGGGUCGCGACAAAGCGUGAAGCAGGGCCACCCGCUCCCACAGUUAUGCUGCCAGGGUCUGCACCCGCAACAGGGGGCACCUUUGCAAUCUUACGGGUAAAAGUAGUCCUCUCUCCAGCUCUGGUGACCUUUGUAUGCAGUCUGAGCGCGACUCACAGAAAAGAGCUGGGGAGGAAGAAAGGGGCCCCUACCAGUGGAUCAGUGCAUUCCGGACAGUGAAAUCCUCGAGAGUAGUUUUAUUUAUAAGCUGAUGGGGAGAAGAUGGACCCUGGCAGUGUCUUCCCGUCCUUCUGAAAGGAAGGGAUUUGGAGACCUGUCCAGGGAGAGGAGGAGAAGGAGGAGGAGACCAUACAACAGUGAGAAACAGACUAAGAUUCAGAAAGACACGGCCACGUCCAUCUUGUCCCUAGCUUUAGUCUCAGCACCGUGCCCAGAACAUUGGAUGGAGCGAUGGAAACUUGGAAUCAUAGUUGAAACUGGUUCCAAACAGAUCGGAGGAGGCCACUGCACCAACCAAGUAGACAGACUGGGGGGUCUAAGCAAUGUGUGUGCCCCACCCGUAACAAACCCCAAACCCCAGCUCUUCCCGGAUCCCAGUGAAGCGGCUAUUCAACCCUGAGUCCAGGGAGGUGGGAGGACACAAGAUACUACAGUUUCUUUCGCUGUAGAGAAUAAAUGGAGGAACAGUAUCCAGAAGCCUCAGAACAGGCAUAGUCUUCUAAUCAUGACCUCAUAUGGUAUCCAGACGGAAAAUUCCAGGAAAAUGUUUAGCAACCUCAAUAGAAGGCAGGAAGAUAUAGCAUCCAUAAUACAAGAGCCAAAACAACAACAACAACAACAACAACACAUGGUAGGAAGUGGACAAACUAAUGCAAAGCAAGUCGGGUGGAAAAAGGAAACAAAGGCUAUAAAAAGGAGACAGGAAAUUAACAAAAUGGCAGGGAAAUUUACGAGGUAGCGACAGAGGAACAUCCACAUGGAUUGCAACAGAAUAUGGAAUUAAUCUCGCACAAAAAGGGAAAAAAAAAAGAGUCAGUUAUAUACAAAGCCAAUGUUAAGAAUUUUUCCUGGUAUGCAAAGGAAAUGGGGAAAAAUGAAAACAGAGGGACAGAAGAAUAAGCCAAGAGGCAGACUUGUAGAGAGCUAGGUGCUCCUGGAGAAAAGAAACCAUACACCAUGGUUGAUAGGAGGGAAAGGAAAAAACAAAAAAUCCCUCAGCUAAAAGAAGACAUAGAUGUGCAUCGGGGAAGGACGGUCCUGCGCUGCUGAAGGCGACAUGGAUUUUACAAGCCUGAUGGCGGACGCGUGGAGGACGAUGUAUUUUCACAACAAAGAUCAGGAGAAAGUCUGACAACGCUUAAGUGGGUGAAGGGUGUCCCCAGUAAAGGAGCAUAAACAAAGCUGGUUUCGGGUUCUCUGUAACUGCAUUUCAGAAGGUACUUCCUUUUAGGGGCACCUGGGUGGCUCUCAGGUGGUUGAGUGUCCAACUCUGGCUGAGGUUGUGAUCUCACAGUUCGUGAGUUUGA
Molecule: long non-coding RNA, 2294 nt
Organism: Leopardus geoffroyi (Geoffroy's cat)
Lineage: Eukaryota; Metazoa; Chordata; Mammalia; Carnivora; Felidae
Exons: 3
Source: RefSeq, a predicted model, not a curated record